Molecule: ribosomal RNA, 239 nt
Filed under: uncultured bacterium
Lineage: Bacteria
Description: partial 16S ribosomal RNA
Rfam family: Bacterial small subunit ribosomal RNA
Source: RNAcentral
CGUGAGGAACCUGCCUUGGAGUGGGGAAUAACAGUUAGAAAUAGCUGCUAAUACCGCAUAAUGCAGUUGGGUCGCAUGGCUCUGACUGCCAAAGAUUUAUCGCUCUGAGAUGGCCUCGCGUCUGAUUAGAUAGUUGGCGGGGUAACGGCCCACCAAGUCGACGAUCAGUAGCCGGACUGAGAGGUUGGCCGGCCACAUUGGGACUGAGACACGGCCCAGACUCCUACGGGAGGCAGCAG